AUAAUAUUCGUGAAUGACAACCUGGAUCACCCCUGAACAUAUGUACGAACUUUUUGGAUUUGACCCGUUCUGAGGAUGGAUAAAGAACUCACCCCCCAAAACUUAAAUAAUGGCAUACCCGGCAUCUUCGAAACUAAAUGGCGUAGAUCUGCAUAGCAAUAAUGAUAGCUCCUCAGUAUGUAUCAACUUGAUGUUUUUUUUUUUUUUUUUUUUUUUUGUUGCAGGAACACUGGAGAUCUCCAAAAGCAGCUCAAUGGCGGCUAAGGCGUGCAUGGAAGAAUGGCCGCGUAGCAAAACAGAGAUACAUGAGGUGAGCCACUAGACAUCUCAAAAACACCCCUGGUCUGAGGUAUAUCAAUUGCCCAUUGUUGAGAUUCUGUCGCCAUGUUCUCAAACAAUUGAUACGCUUGCAGUGCAUUUUUGUCUGAAUACGUUCCUCCACAAGAAGCAUUAACAAGAGUCUUAGUAGUCAAAUUCAGCCCUCUGUAAAAUAAAUUCAUUUGAGUGUCACCAUUAAUGCCUGAAUGUGGACAUUUCCUGAGUAGAUCCUUGUAACGUUCCCAUGCUUCAUGAAUUGCUUCAUUAGGUUUCUGAGCA
Molecule: long non-coding RNA, 597 nt
Organism: Pyrus x bretschneideri (Chinese white pear)
Lineage: Eukaryota; Viridiplantae; Streptophyta; Magnoliopsida; Rosales; Rosaceae
Exons: 2
Source: RefSeq, a predicted model, not a curated record